AUGCCAUCUGCAGAAGACCAGAGUACAACUGAUGCAGGUGCCAAGCCGGGCACGAGUGAUGAAGGUGAACGUCCGGAGCAGACUGCGCCUUUACCCGCAGUGGAAAUCCCCAGCUUAAAUCUGCACACUUCCAAACUCCCAAUAAACAUCGGUGUCCCCUACAGCCCUAACAAGACGAUUGUCAACAAAUCUAUGCCUGUCAGCACUGAGAGCACACCCCGCCCUAUUGGCAAGCCUGAUUAUUCUGCAGCGGCUGAUCUAGAAGAUAUGUUUGUUGAUCUUUCACCGUUGGAUUCUGCCCCGCAAGUUGUUCGCGGUCCGGCCAGUAGGCAUGAGAGGCACCCAAUGGCCUUCACCCUACCGAGCUUCAGCCUUGGCGUCAGUCAAGAUCAACAAGUGGCUCAAGAUCCUAUGCCAGUUGCCUUUGCUUUUUCUGGAGGCGUGCCCGCAAUGAUGGUGCAGCCAAUGGUUGAGGGCAGGAAGGCUGUCAAGUUCGCAGGGCCUAUCGUCCAAGCCACCCCUGAGGAGAUUUCACCGUCACUUCAUGAAGCUUACCGCAGGAUCGCGGAGGCAGCAUUGCAGAGGAGGUCUUCACGAGGGCAGGGGCAAUCAAGUUCCAACGUGCCUGCAAAUACGGUAUCUGAGGAUACCAUUAGGAGUGCCACCCCUGGUUCUGUGAGGCAGCAGAGGGUAGUUCACCCACCUCCCGCGGAAGACUACGAGCCCGAAUUCAGGGCCACAAAGGAACAAAACCAGUUGUAUGAUAUUGUCAAGCGGUUUGGAAAUGCGAGGUCCAGCAACAAGCACAUGAAGGAGCUGAAAGCGUAA
Molecule: ribosomal RNA, 828 nt
Filed under: Triticum aestivum (bread wheat)
Lineage: Eukaryota; Viridiplantae; Streptophyta; Magnoliopsida; Poales; Poaceae
Description: partial small subunit ribosomal RNA
Source: RNAcentral